AUACGGAGGAUGCGAGCGUUAUCCGGAUUUAUUGGGUUUAAAGGGUGCGUAGGCUGUGCGUUAAGUCAGGGGUGAAAUGCCGUCGCUCAACGACGGAGCUGCCCUUGAUACUGGCGUGCUGGAGUACGGAUGCCGUUGGAGGAAUGAGUGGUGUAGCGGUGAAAUGCUUAGAUAUCACUCAGAACACCGAUUGCGAAGGCAUCUGACGAAUCCGACACGGACGCUGAGGCACGAAAGCGUGGGGAUAGAACAGGAUUAGAUGCCCUGGUAUUCCCCGCCGUAAACGAUGAUGACUAGCCGUCGGCGAUAGACAGCCGGUGGCCAAGCGAAAGCGAUAAGUCAUCCCCCUGGGGAGUACGUCGGCAACGAUGAAACUCAAAUGAAUUGACGGGG
This 393-nucleotide ribosomal RNA is filed under the name uncultured bacterium. RNAcentral describes it as "partial 16S ribosomal RNA". It matches the Rfam family "Bacterial small subunit ribosomal RNA", at positions 523 to 918 of the family's 1533-position model. The record is from RNAcentral.